RNAcentral lists this ribosomal RNA (253 nucleotides) under uncultured bacterium. RNAcentral describes it as "partial 16S ribosomal RNA". It matches the Rfam family "Bacterial small subunit ribosomal RNA", at positions 524 to 776 of the family's 1533-position model. The record is from RNAcentral.
UACGUAGGUGGCAAGCGUUAUCCGGAAUUAUUGGGCGUAAAGAGCGCGCAGGUGGUUAAUUAAGUCUGAUGUGAAAGCCCACGGCUUAACCGUGGAGGGUCAUUGGAAACUGGUUGACUUGAGUGCAGAAGAGGGAAGCGGAAUUCCAUGUGUAGCGGUGAAAUGCGUAGAGAUAUGGAGGAACACCAGUGGCGAAGGCGGCUUCCUGGUCUGCAACUGACACUGAGGCGCGAAAGCGUGGGGAGCAAACAGG